UGGGGAAUCUUGCGCAAUGGGCGAAAGCCUGACGCAGCAACGCCGCGUGCGGGAUGAAGGCCCUCGGGUUGUAAACCGCUUUCAGUGGGGACGAACCAAGACGGUACCCACAGAAGAAGCCCCGGCCAACUACGUGCCAGCAGCCGCGGUAAUACGUAGGGCGCAAGCGUUAUCCGGAAUUAUUGGGCGUAAAGAGCUCGUAGGCGGUUUGUCGCGUCUGCCGUGAAAGUCCGGGGCUCAACUCCGGAUCUGCGGUGGGUACGGGCAGACUAGAGUGAUGUAGGGGAGACUGGAAUUCCUGGUGUAGCGGUGAAAUGCGCAGAUAUCAGGAGGAACACCGAUGGCGAAGGCAGGUCUCUGGGCAUUAACUGACGCUGAGGAGCGAAAGCAUGGGGAGCGAA
Molecule: ribosomal RNA, 401 nt
Filed under: uncultured bacterium
Lineage: Bacteria
Description: bacterial SSU rRNA
Rfam family: Bacterial small subunit ribosomal RNA
Source: RNAcentral